GGUGGGGUUCCCGAGCGGCAAAAGGGAGCAGACUGUAAAUCUGCCGUCAUCGACUACGAAGGUUCGAAUCCUUCCCCCACCACCA
Molecule: transfer RNA, 85 nt
Filed under: Klebsiella pneumoniae
Lineage: Bacteria; Pseudomonadati; Pseudomonadota; Gammaproteobacteria; Enterobacterales; Enterobacteriaceae
Description: tRNA-Tyr
Rfam family: tRNA
About the family: Transfer RNA (tRNA) molecules are approximately 80 nucleotides in length.
Source: RNAcentral